UCCGGUUGAUCCUGGCGGAGGCCACUGCUAUCGGAGUUCGAUUAAGCCAUGCGAGUCGAGAGGUGCAAGACCUCGGCAUACUGCUCAGUAACACGUGGACAACCUACCCUACGGAGGGGGAUAACCCCGGGAAACUGGGGAUAAUACCCCAUAGACUAUAGAUGCUGGAAUGCUUUGUAGUUGAAAGGUCCGCCGCCGUAGGAUGGGUCUGCGGCCGAUUAGGUUGUUGUUGGGGUAACGGCCCAACAAGCCUGUAAUCGGUACGGGUUGUGGGAGCAAGAGCCCGGAGAUGGAUUCUGAGACACGAAUCCAGGCCCUACGGGGCGCAGCAGGCGUGAAAACUUUACAAUGCGGGAAACCGUGAUAAGGGAACUCCGAGUGCCCGUAAAAUCGGGCUGUCCAUCUGUUUAAAUAACAGGUGAAGAAAGGGCCGGGCAAGACCGGUGCCAGCCGCCGCGGUAAUACCGGCGGCUCGAGUGGUGGCCACUAUUACUGGGCUUAAAGCGUUCGUAGCUGGUCUGUUAAGUCUCUGGGGAAAUCUACUGGCUUAACCAAUAGGCGUCUCAGGGAUACUGGCAGACUAGGGACCGGGAGAGGUGAGAGGUACUCCAGGGGUAGGAGUGAAAUCCUGUAAUCCUUGGGGGACCACCUGUGGCGAAGGCGUCUCACCAGAACGGCUCCGACAGUGAGGGACGAAAGCUGGGGGAGCAAACCGGAUUAGAUACCCGGGUAGUCCCAGCCGUAAACGAUGCGCGUUAGGUGUAUCGGUGACCACGAGUCACCGAGGUGCCGAAGAGAAAUCGUGAAACGUGCCGCCUGGGAAGUACGGUCGCAAGGCUGAAACUUAAAGGAAUUGGCGGGGGAGCACCACAACAGGUGGAGCCUGCGGUUUAAUCGGACUCAACGCCGGAAAUCUCACCGGAUAAGACAGCUGGAUGAUAGUCGGGCUGAAGACUCUACUUGACUAGCUGAGAGGAGGUGCAUGGCCGUCGUCAGUUCGUACUGUGAAGCAUCCUGUUAAGUCAGGCAACGAGCGAGACCCA
RNAcentral lists this ribosomal RNA (1043 nucleotides) under uncultured archaeon. RNAcentral's name for it is "bacterial SSU rRNA". It matches the Rfam family "Archaeal small subunit ribosomal RNA", at positions 1 to 1054 of the family's 1478-position model. The record is from RNAcentral.